Molecule: long non-coding RNA, 415 nt
Filed under: Fukomys damarensis (Damara mole-rat)
Lineage: Eukaryota; Metazoa; Chordata; Mammalia; Rodentia; Bathyergidae
Description: lncRNA (ENSFDAG00000026913.1)
Source: RNAcentral
CUUUGUCCCUGGUUCUUUCCUUCUUGCUGUGCUUCCUGGCCACCGGGACGUGAGCAGCAUUUUGUGCACUAGGCCCUUCCACCAUGCCCUUCCUGACUUGGGUUCAGCUGGCUGUGGGCUACAAUCAUGAGCCAAAAUAAAUCUCUCCUUGUUGUGAGUCAGCUACUUCACUGCAAUGAUGAACUCACCGAUACACCACAGAGAGGAAAGAGGGAGCCAAUGGAGCAUUUGAAAAGGGAAAUUGAGUUGGGAAGUCAGCUGGAAGCGACUUUGGGUGAGAUAAACCGGCUUUCACGGAUGAGACCGAGGGGCAGUGGGAAAGUCGCACACAGAAAGGCCCCCCCGUCUGUGGCUCCCUGUGGCUGAGCAGCCCUUUUCAUCUCAGCUUGCACCCCACCACUACACUGGCUCACCG